AACGCGAAGAACCUUACCAGGGCUUGACAUCCUACUAACGAAGCAGAGAUGCAUUAGGCGCCCUUCGGGGAAAGUAGAGACAGGUGGUGCAUGGUUGUCGUCAGCUCGUGUCGUGAGAUGUUGGGUUAAGUCCCGCAACGAGCGCAACCCUUAUCGUUAGUUGCUACGCAAGAGCACUCUAGCGAGACUGCCGUUGACAAAACGGAGGAAGGUGGGGACGACGUCAAAUCAUCAUGCCCCUUAUGUCCUGGGCUACACACGUACUACAAUGGCGGUUAACAGAGGGAGGCAAACCCGCGAGGGGGAGCGAAACCCUAAAAACCGUCUCAGUUCAGAUCGCAGGCUGAAACCCGCCUGCGUGAAGGUGGAAUUGCUAGUAAUCGCGGAUCAGCAUGCCGCGGUGAAUACGUUCCCGGGUCUUGUACACACCG
RNAcentral lists this ribosomal RNA (431 nucleotides) under uncultured bacterium. RNAcentral describes it as "bacterial SSU rRNA". It matches the Rfam family "Bacterial small subunit ribosomal RNA", at positions 958 to 1392 of the family's 1533-position model. The record is from RNAcentral.